This 489-nucleotide ribosomal RNA is filed under the name uncultured bacterium. RNAcentral describes it as "partial 16S ribosomal RNA". It matches the Rfam family "Bacterial small subunit ribosomal RNA", at positions 29 to 506 of the family's 1533-position model. The record is from RNAcentral.
AUUGAACGCUGGCGGCAGGCCUAACACAUGCCAGUCGAACGGUAACAGGGAUCAGCUUGCUGAUUCGCUGACGAGUGGCGGACGGGUGAGUAAUGUCUGGGAAACUGCCUGAUGGAGGGGGAUAACUACUGGAAACGGUAGCUAAUACCGCAUAACGUCGCAAGACCAAAGAGGGGGACCUUCGGGCCUCUUGCCAUCGGAUGUGCCCAGAUGGGAUUAGCUAGUAGGUGGGGUAACGGCUCACCUAGGCGACGAUCCCUAGCUGGUCUGAGAGGAUGACCAGCCACACGGGAACUGAGACAGGGCCCAACCUCCUAGGGGAGGCAGGAGUGGGGAAUAUUGCACAAUGGGGGAAAGCCUGAGGCAGCCAGGCCGCGUGUAUGAAGAAGGCCUUGGGGUUGUAAAGUACUUUCAGCGGGGGGGAAGGGAGUAAAGUUAAAACCUUUGCUCAUUGACGUUCCCCGCAAAAGAAGCACCGGCUAACUCCGG